This is a small nuclear RNA of Bison bison bison, 179 nucleotides long. Its record names the gene U2. It matches the Rfam family "U2 spliceosomal RNA". From Rfam's summary of the family: U2 is a small nuclear RNA (snRNA) component of the spliceosome (involved in pre-mRNA splicing). Complementary binding between U2 snRNA (in an area lying towards the 5' end but 3' to hairpin I) and the branchpoint sequence (BPS) of the intron results the bulging out of an unpaired adenosine, on the BPS, which initiates a nucleophilic attack at the intronic 5' splice site, thus starting the first of two transesterification reactions that mediate splicing. The record is from Ensembl. Lineage: Eukaryota; Metazoa; Chordata; Mammalia; Artiodactyla; Bovidae.
AUCCCUUCCAGGUCUUUUAGCUAAGAGCAAGUAUAGUAUCUGUUCUUACCAGCUGUAUCAUCUAUCUGAGGACAAUACAGUAAAUGGAACAAAUUUUUGGAGCAGGGAAUUGGAAUAGGAGCUUACUUAACUUCUCUCUACACAUACACCUGGUAUUCUCCAGAAAUGGUGCAACUCCC